GUUGUAUGGUUAAGUGACUAAGCGUACACGGUGGAUGCCUUGGCAGUCAGAGGCGAUGAAAGACGUAGUAACUUGCGAUAAGCCCAGAUUAGGUAGUAACAACCAUUUGAGUCUGGGAUUUCUGAAUGGGGAAACCCACGUGCAUAAGCACGUAUCCUUACCUGAAUACAUAGGGUAAGGAGGCGAACCGGGGGAACUGAAACAUCUAAGUACCCCGAGGAAAAGAAAUCAACCGAGAUUCCGAAAGUAGCGGCGAGCGAAAUUGGACUAGCCCUUAAGCUUUACACGCGUUAGACGAACGGUCUGGAAAGUCCGGCGAUACAGGGUGAUAGCCCCGUAGUUGACGACGUGUGUUCAGUGAAAUCGAGUAGGGCGGGACACGUGAUAUCCUGUCUGAAUAUGGGGGGACCAUCCUCCAAGGCUAAAUACUACUGACUGACCGAUAGUGAACCAGUACCGUGAGGGAAAGGCGAAAAGAACCCCUGUGAGGGGAGUGAAAUAGAACCUGAAACCGUGUACGUACAAGCAGUAGGAGCAGGCUUUGUCCUGUGACUGCGUACCUUUUGUAUAAUGGGUCAGCGACUUAUAUUCAGUGGCAAGGUUAACCAUCUAGGGGAGCCGUAGGGAAACCGAGUCUUAACUGGGCGUUCAGUCUCUGGAUAUAGACCCGAAACCAGGUGAUCUAGCCAUGGGCAGGUUGAAGGUUGAGUAACAUCAACUGGAGGACCGAACCGACUAAUGUUGAAAAAUUAGCGGAUGACUUGUGGCUAGGGGUGAAAGGCCAAUCAAACCUGGAGAUAGCUGGUUCUCCCCGAAAGCUAUUUAGGUAGCGCCUCGGACGAAUACUACUGGGGGUAGAGCACUGUUAAGGCUAGGGGGUCAUCCCGACUUACCAACCCUUUGCAAACUCCGAAUACCAGUAAGUACUAUCCGGGAGACACACGGCGGGUGCUAACGUCCGUCGUGGAGAGGGAAACAACCCAGACCGCCAGCUAAGGUCCCAAAUUACUACUAAGUGGGAAACGAUGUGGGAAGGCUCAGACAGCCAGGAUGUUGGCUUAGAAGCAGCCAUCAUUUAAAGAAAGCGUAAUAGCUCACUGGUCGAGUCGGCCUGCGCGGAAGAUGUAACGGGGCUAAGUAGUAAACCGAAGCUGCGGCAAUGUGCUUUUGCACAUUGGGUAGGGGAGCGUUCUGUAAGCGGUUGAAGGUGUGUGGUAACGCAUGCUGGACGUAUCAGAAGUGCGAAUGCUGACAUGAGUAACGAUAAAGGGGGUGAAAAACCUCCUCGCCGGAAGACCAAGGGUUCCUGUCCAACGUUAAUCGGGGCAGGGUAAGUCGACCCCUAAGGCGAGGCCGAAAGGCGUAGUCGAUGGGAAACGGGUUAAUAUUCCCGUACUUCUUACAAUUGCGAUGGGGGGACGGAGAAGGCUAGGUGGGCCUGGCGACGGUUGUCCAGGUUCAAGUGCGUAGGCUUGAGAGUUAGGUAAAUCCGGCUCUUUUUAAGGCUGAGACACGACGUCGAGCACCUACGGGUGUGAAGUCAUUGAUGCCAUGCUUCCAGGAAAAGCCUCUAAGCUUCAGAUUGUAAGGAAUCGUACCCCAAACCGACACAGGUGGUCGGGUAGAGAAUACCAAGGCGCUUGAGAGAACUCGGGUGAAGGAACUAGGCAAAAUGGUACCGUAACUUCGGGAGAAGGUACGCUCUCGACGGUGAAGUCCCUCGCGGAUGGAGCUAUUGAGAGUCGCAGAUACCAGGUGGCUGCAACUGUUUAUUAAAAACACAGCACUGUGCAAAAUCGUAAGAUGACGUAUACGGUGUGACGCCUGCCCGGUGCCGGAAGGUUAAUUGAUGGGGUUAGACUUCGGUCGAAGCUCUUGAUCGAAGCCCCGGUAAACGGCGGCCGUAACUAUAACGGUCCUAAGGUAGCGAAAUUCCUUGUCGGGUAAGUUCCGACCUGCACGAAUGGCGUAAUGAUGGCCACGCUGUCUCCACCCGAGACUCAGUGAAAUUGAAAUCGCUGUGAAGAUGCAGUGUACCCGCGGCUAGACGGAAAGACCCCGUGAACCUUUACUACAGCUUGGCACUGAACAUUGACCCUACAUGUGUAGGAUAGGUGGGAGGCUUUGAAGCACGUACGCCAGUAUGUGUGGAGCCGUCCUUGAAAUACCACCCUUGUAGUGUUGAUGUUCUAACGUCGACCCCUUAUCGGGGUUGCGGACAGUGCCUGGUGGGUAGUUUGACUGGGGCGGUCUCCUCCCAAAGAGUAACGGAGGAGCACGAAGGUGGGCUAAUCACGGUUGGACAUCGUGAGGUUAGUGCAAUGGCAUAAGCCCGCUUGACUGCGAGAAUGACAAUUCGAGCAGGUGCGAAAGCAGGUCAUAGUGAUCCGGUGGUUCUGAAUGGAAGGGCCAUCGCUCAACGGAUAAAAGGUACUCCGGGGAUAACAGGCUGAUACCGCCCAAGAGUUCAUAUCGACGGCGGUGUUUGGCACCUCGAUGUCGGCUCAUCACAUCCUGGGGCUGAAGUCGGUCCCAAGGGUAUGGCUGUUCGCCAUUUAAAGUGGUACGCGAGCUGGGUUUAGAACGUCGUGAGACAGUUCGGUCCCUAUCUGCCGUGGGCGUUGGAAGAUUGAAGGGGGCUGCUCCUAGUACGAGAGGACCGGAGUGGACGAACCUCUGGUGUUCGGGUUGUGUCGCCAGACGCAUUGCCCGGUAGCUAAGUUCGGAAUCGAUAACCGCUGAAAGCAUCUAAGCGGGAAGCGAGCCCUGAGAUGAGUCUUCCCUGAUACUUUAAGUAUCCUAAAGGGUUGUCGGAGACUACGACGUUGAUAGGUCAGGUGUGUAAGUGCUGUGAGGCAUUGAGCUAACUGAUACUAAUUGCCCGUGAGGCUUAACCAUACAACACCCAAGGGGUUU
RNAcentral lists this ribosomal RNA (2916 nucleotides) under Vibrio parahaemolyticus. RNAcentral's name for it is "23S ribosomal RNA". It matches the Rfam family "Bacterial large subunit ribosomal RNA". Lineage: Bacteria; Pseudomonadati; Pseudomonadota; Gammaproteobacteria; Vibrionales; Vibrionaceae. The record is from RNAcentral.